GAUGAAGAACGUAGCGAAAUGCGAUAAGUAAUGUGAAUUGCAGAAUUCAGUGAAUCAUCGAAUCUUUGAACGCACAUUGCGCCCCUUGGUAUUCCGAGGGGCAUGCCUGUUCGAGCGUCAUUAUAACCCCUCAAGCUCAGCUUGGUGUUGGGGCCUGCUGCACUGGCAGCACUUAAAAUCAGUGGCGGCGCCAUCUGGCUCUAAGCGUAGUAAUUCUUCUCGCUAUGGAGUCCUGGUGGAUGCUUGCCAUCAACCCCCAAUUUUUCUAUGGUUGACCUCGGAUCAGGUAGGGAUACCCGCUGAACUUAAGCAUAUCAAUAAGCGGAGGA
This 329-nucleotide unclassified non-coding RNA is filed under the name soil metagenome. Its description in RNAcentral is "partial contains 5.8S ribosomal RNA, internal transcribed spacer 2, and large subunit ribosomal RNA". The stretch from base 1 to 120 matches the Rfam family "5.8S ribosomal RNA", at positions 35 to 154 of the family's 154-position model. The record is from RNAcentral.